GGGUUGUGAGGUUAAGCGACUAAGCGUACACGGUGGAUGCCCUGGCAGUCAGAGGCGAUGAAGGACGUGCUAAUCUGCGAUAAGCGCCGGUAAGGUGAUAUGAACCGUUAUAACCGGCGAUUUCCGAAUGGGGAAACCCAGUGUGAUUCGUCACACUAUCAUUAACUGAAUCCAUAGGUUAAUGAGGCGAACCGGGGGAACUGAAACAUCUAAGUACCCCGAGGAAAAGAAAUCAACCGAGAUUCCCCCAGUAGCGGCGAGCGAACGGGGAGGAGCCCAGAGCCUGAAUCAGCAUGUGUGUUAGUGGAAGCGUCUGGAAAGGCGCGCGAUACAGGGUGACAGCCCCGUACACAAAAGCGCAUGUGCUGUGAGCUCGAUGAGUAGGGCGGGACACGUGGUAUCCUGUCUGAAUAUGGGGGGACCAUCCUCCAAGGCUAAAUACUCCUGACUGACCGAUAGUGAACCAGUACCGUGAGGGAAAGGCGAAAAGAACCCCGGCGAGGGGAGUGAAAAAGAACCUGAAACCGUGUACGU
Molecule: ribosomal RNA, 534 nt
Filed under: Salmonella enterica subsp. enterica
Lineage: Bacteria; Pseudomonadati; Pseudomonadota; Gammaproteobacteria; Enterobacterales; Enterobacteriaceae
Also listed under: 1 other name
Description: partial 23S ribosomal RNA
Rfam family: Bacterial large subunit ribosomal RNA
Source: RNAcentral